GAUGAACGCUGGCGGCGGGCCUAAUACAUGCAAGUCGAGCGAACAGACGAGGAGCUUGCUCCUCUGACGUUAUCGGCGGACGGGUGAGUAACACUUGGAUAACCUACCUAUAAGACUGGGAUAACUUCGGGAAACCGGAGCUAAUACCGGAUAAUAUAUUGAACCGCAUGGUUCAAUAGUGAAAGACGGUUUUGCUGUCACUUAUAGAUGGAUCCGCGCCGCAUUAGCUAGUUGGUAAGGUAACGGCUUACCAAGGCGACGAUGCGUAGCCGACCUGAGAGGGUCAUCGGCCACAUUGGAACUGAGAAACGGCCCAGACUCCUACGGGAGGCAGCAGUAGGGAAUCUUCCGCAAUGGGCGAAAGCCUGACGGAGCAAAGCCGCGUGAGUGAUGAAGGUCUUCGGAUCGUAAAACUCUGUAAUUAGGGAAGAACAAAUGUGUAAGUAACUAUGCACGUCUUGACGGUACCUAAACAGAAAGCCACGGCUAACUACGUG
This 497-nucleotide ribosomal RNA is filed under the name uncultured bacterium. RNAcentral's name for it is "partial 16S ribosomal RNA". It matches the Rfam family "Bacterial small subunit ribosomal RNA", at positions 28 to 507 of the family's 1533-position model. The record is from RNAcentral.